RNAcentral lists this ribosomal RNA (301 nucleotides) under uncultured bacterium. RNAcentral's name for it is "partial 16S ribosomal RNA". It matches the Rfam family "Bacterial small subunit ribosomal RNA", at positions 509 to 807 of the family's 1533-position model. The record is from RNAcentral.
CAGUCGCCGCGGUAAUACGAAGGGGGCUAGCGUUGUUCGGAUUUACUGGGCGUAAAGCGCACGUAGGCGGACUUUUAAGUCAGGGGUGAAAUCCCGGGGCUCAACCCCGGAACUGCCUUUGAUACUGGGUGUCUAGAGUAUGGAAGAGGUGAGUGGAAUUCCGAGUGUAGAGGUAAAAUUCGUAGAUAUUCGGAGGAACACCAGUGGCGAAGGCGGCUCACUGGUCCAUUACUGACGCUGAGGUGCGAAAGCGUGGGGAGCAAACAGGAUUAGAGACCCCAGUAGUCCCUGUCUCUUAUAC